GUAAACUACAUGUUUUCCUCUUGAAAUAUAGGGGAAGAUAUGAGAUAUCCCAAUUCUGCUCCAAGCAUAAGACACAAUUGAGAACUGAAUUAUGGAACAUACAUGCAGUGGACAUAUUACAUUCCUUCCGUCUAAUUUUACCUGACAUCAUUACUGGACUAGUAAUUUUAAAUAUUAGAAAUCAACUUGUAUACAAGUGUUGGAGAAAAUAGUUGAGUAAUUGGUGAAUAUUAGCUUGGUGGAGAAGUCAUACUUUGAUGUUUAUAUUUUCUAUGGAAAAGGAUCAAAAAUACCCUUGAACUAUCUGAAAUAGCUCAAAUAUACCUUUGAACUAUAUUUCGGCUCAAAUAUAC
Molecule: unclassified non-coding RNA, 353 nt
Filed under: Hevea brasiliensis (rubber tree)
Lineage: Eukaryota; Viridiplantae; Streptophyta; Magnoliopsida; Malpighiales; Euphorbiaceae
Source: RNAcentral